GACGAACGCUGGCGGCGUGCUUAACACAUGCAAGUCGAACGAAGUGGCGAACGGGUGAGUAACGCGUAAUCAACCUGCCCUUCAAAGGGGGCCAACAGUUGGAAACGACUGCUAAUCCCGCAUAAGGAAGGAGGGGAUUGCGUCUGAUUAGCUAGUUGGGGGGGUAACGGCCCACCAAGGCGAUGAUCAGUCGCCUGUCUGAGAGGGUGAACGGCCACAUUGGGACUGAGACACGGCCCAGACUCCUACGGGAGGCAGCAGUGGGGAAUCUUCCGCAAUGGACGAAAGUCUGACGGAGCAACGCCGCGUGAGUGAUGACGGCCUUCGGGUUGUAAAGCUCUGUUAAUCGGGACGCGGUACCGGAAUAGAAAGCCACGGCUAACUACGUGCCAGCAGCCGCGGUAAUUC
This 408-nucleotide ribosomal RNA is filed under the name uncultured bacterium. RNAcentral describes it as "partial 16S ribosomal RNA". It matches the Rfam family "Bacterial small subunit ribosomal RNA", at positions 28 to 526 of the family's 1533-position model. The record is from RNAcentral.